This 22-nucleotide microRNA is filed under the name Petromyzon marinus (sea lamprey). RNAcentral's name for it is "pma-miR-17c". Its record names the gene pma-miR-17c. The record is from miRBase by way of RNAcentral. Lineage: Eukaryota; Metazoa; Chordata; Hyperoartia; Petromyzontiformes; Petromyzontidae.
AAAAGUGCAAAUAGUGGUAGGU